Molecule: unclassified non-coding RNA, 329 nt
Filed under: soil metagenome
Description: partial contains 5.8S ribosomal RNA, internal transcribed spacer 2, and large subunit ribosomal RNA
Rfam family: 5.8S ribosomal RNA (bases 1-120)
Source: RNAcentral
GAUGAAGAACGUAGCGAAAUGCGAUAAGUAAUGUGAAUUGCAGAAUUCAGUGAAUCAUCGAAUCUUUGAACGCACAUUGCGCCCCCUGGUAUUCCGGGGGGCAUGCCUGUCCGAGCGUCAUUACAACCCUCAAGCUCAGCUUGGUGUUGGGCCCCGCCGCCCCGGCGGGCCCUAAAGUCAGUGGCGGUGCCGUCCGGCUCCGAGCGUAGUAAUUCUUCUCGCUCUGGAGGUCCGGUCGUGUGCUCGCCAGCAACCCCCAAUUUUUUUCAGGUUGUCCUCGGAUCAGGUAGGGAUACCCGCUGAACUUAAGCAUAUCAAUAAGCGGAGGA